UGGGGAAUAUUGCACAAUGGGCGAAAGCCUGAUGCAGCAACGCCGCGUGAGUGAUGAAGGCCUUCGGGUUGUAAAGCUCUGUCUUUUGGGACGAUAAUGACGGUACCAAAGGAGGAAGCCACGGCUAACUACGUGCCAGCAGCCGCGGUAAUACGUAGGUGGCGAGCGUUGUCCGGAUUUACUGGGCGUAAAGGAUGCGUAGGCGGAUUUUUAAGUGAGAUGUGAAAACCCUAAGCUUAACUUGGGGACUGCAUUUCAUACUGGAAAUCUAGAGUGCGGGAGAGGAGAAUGGAAUUCCUAGUGUAGCGGUGAAAUGCGUAGAGAUUAGGAAGAACACCAGUGGCGAAGGCGAUUCUCUGGACCGUAACUGACGCUGAGGCAUGAAAGCGUGGGUAGCAAACAGGAUUAGAUACCCUGGUAGUCCACGCCGUAAACGAUGAGUACUAGGUGUAGGAGGUAUCGACCCCUUCUGUGCCGCAGUUAACACAAUAAGUACUCCGCCUGGGAAGUACGAUCGCAAGAUUAAAA
RNAcentral lists this ribosomal RNA (528 nucleotides) under uncultured bacterium. RNAcentral describes it as "partial 16S ribosomal RNA". It matches the Rfam family "Bacterial small subunit ribosomal RNA", at positions 355 to 899 of the family's 1533-position model. The record is from RNAcentral.